UUCAUCAGUAGUUCUUCUGUUUGGAAAGGUGAAUUAUUGUGGGAAGUCCAAUAUUUGGGUCGUGUAAUUAAUGGCUCCUCAACACUCAAUCUUCUUCGUGCUUAGUUUGCUUCUUGGCAUUUCUUCUGCUAUUGAUGACAACGACGGCCUUGACAAGUGGGGAAAAUUGGAUCCAACAUUCUCACCAUGUUCCUCAGGGCAAAGGCAAUCUCCCAUAAACAUUCAAAGGAAUCUGACGGUCCACAACAAAUUAUUGAAACCUUUAACCAGGAACUACAAACAUGUAAAUGCUACGCGGGUUAACAAAGGCUACAGUGUUGGGGUUGAUUUCUAA
Long non-coding RNA from Gossypium arboreum, 334 nucleotides. RefSeq lists it as uncharacterized. NCBI's taxonomy places the organism in Eukaryota, Viridiplantae, Streptophyta, Magnoliopsida, Malvales, Malvaceae. The transcript has 2 exons. The record is from RefSeq and is a predicted model, not a curated record.